CAGAAAAUCAACGGCAUGUCCAAAACGAGAAAAUUAUUUAUAAAUCUUGUAAACUGCCUUUUCCAGUGAACUUCAUUUCGCUCGUCUGACACUGAUUUAACAACUCACUGUAAACACUAUCGGGUUCAUGUUUUUAAAAAUUGUGAUUUUGAACAAAUGUUAUUCCACGCGAACAAAUAUUGAAUCAGCGGGCGUCAGGAUUUCGUUGUGAUUAAUUAAUUUUUAUUCUUAGUCCAUCUUUCAGCGUUUGCUAUUUUACUCUCUUUAUUAUAGCUGUGGUUGAAUAAACAGAUAAUGCUUAUCAUCGAUUUCCCUUCCCUUCCCUCCCCCUAUUCUGAUGCUAGGUCUAGGCACUUUGUCUCUUUUAGCAAAGAAUCGUGUUCCUUUUUUUCAACCGACUGAUGUAAUUAAUUUUGUUUGCGUUCUACAGACAGACGUCGUUCGAUGAUUCUGUAGAGUUUUCCACCCGUCAUCUGCUACCAAGCACUCCUUAGCCUCGAUUUUACAACCUUGGCAAUGGACGUUGAGAAUGAAGGCGAUGAAGAUGGGAAACGAGAUGCAGCGAGUGCCGAGGUACGGGUGCCAAGGGCUUAGCGCCAGCGUUUCACAGAACAUGUCACCUGAGGGUCGACUGGCGAUGCUGGCGUCAAGAAAGGAGUCGAGGAAAGCUGGGCAAAAAAUUCAGCCCAAAGCACACAAGACAGCUUCGACGCCAACAACAUCCGCUGAGGUCACACAGGUGACAGUAAAGAAGUCGGGGCUGAUCAAGAUGGCGAGUCCCCUGUCGAAGUGCUGGGCUUCGCGGAAGCUUUGGAGAGAAUUUGCACGAUACGCUUGCACGGCGACAUCACAGACAGAAGCUACACACCGAAAGAGACUCGCAGGCGUGUCUUAGGCGGUGGUGACCGUCUGCACAACGCGUUGGAGGUGGUGGAGAUCGUUCGUCACCGGGACUGUGAUGAGGAAGACAACAACAACAACGAUUCCGACCACUCCGACGACGACGACGAGGAGGUCAUCCAGCGUAAAGCGAACCUCAGCUCUCUGGAACGGUGUCUGGUGUGGGUGGAGCUGCACCAAUUCGUCCAUGACAGGAACCAUCAGAGCAGCGCCACCUGCUCCGGAAGCUGACAUCACGCAUGCUCUAGUCAACGACGUGAAAUAACAUUUCGCACUUCAGUCGCAUGCUAAUGUUAUUUCUAGCAUUUUUGUUUUCUUUGAUUGUUUUUUUUAUAUUUUAUUAUUAUUAUAUUUUUUUUUUGGUUGCUGAGUGUUUUGUUUUGACAGUAACAAGUUAAAAGGUGCAAUGUUGAUUGAGACGCGCAGUCAUCUGCAAGGAACAUUUGGCAACACACUCUUGAAUUUGUGUAAUUGAGAGAUGUUGUACCAGAAAUAAAAAGAACGAUGCUAUGGACCUAGUACGACAGAUGCAGCAACACAGCAUCAGUCCGAGCUUCGCCUUUCUGUUCUGAUUUUCUAAGUCCAGUUCAUGUUUCAAGUCGUUCUUAGAUUAUUAGUAAAACGCGUGAGUGUUACUUUGCUGUGCUUUUAUUAUAGAAAUGAAAGGGAAAAUGUUACAAUAAAUAUUUAAGAAUUUUGGAUGCUUGAAAGGAAUAUUUCUAAGAAAAAUAACUGUAUAACUGGCAAACUGAAAACGUACUGAACACCACUUUUCAUUCAGCCAGAAUUUAAGUCUUUAUGCUCUCUCCAAUAAAUGCUUCCAUGUCUAUCUCAGCUAGUUUGCCUGAGGUUUUUUAGAUCACUUAUGAUCAACACUACGACAGUUCCGACAAUUGUUAACAAGGCAGUCCUGGAGCAAUGCUAAAAAUGUGGACGGGCUGCUUGUGUGGAUGGACUCCAUUAUUUAUAUUUUAAGUGGUAUGUUCUGUGACUGGUCUUCUUGUAUGCAUGAGUGAGCAAUGUGCAUUCGGUGUCGGCUCUGUUUGCGUGGUUGAGCAAUGUUGUUCAAGUUGUCAAGCUAUCAGUUGCCUGUGUGUGUGUGUUGUUGUUGUUGUUGGGU
This 2020-nucleotide long non-coding RNA is filed under the name Pomacea canaliculata. RNAcentral's name for it is "uncharacterized LOC112560892". Lineage: Eukaryota; Metazoa; Mollusca; Gastropoda; Architaenioglossa; Ampullariidae. The record is from RNAcentral.